This 244-nucleotide ribosomal RNA is filed under the name uncultured bacterium. RNAcentral describes it as "partial 16S ribosomal RNA". It matches the Rfam family "Bacterial small subunit ribosomal RNA", at positions 89 to 334 of the family's 1533-position model. The record is from RNAcentral.
UGGAAAGCGGCGGACGGGUGAGUAACGCGUAGGCAACCACCCUUUGCAGAGGGAUAGCCUCGGGAAACCGGGAUUAAAACCUCAUAAUACCGCAGUGAGACAUCUCACGGUGGUCAAAGAUUUAUCGGCAAAGGAUGGGCCUGCGUCUGAUUAGUUAGUUGGUGGGGUAACGGCCUACCAAGGCGACGAUCAGUAGCCGACCUGAGAGGGUGAUCGGCCACAUUGGAACUGAGACACGGUCCAA